GACCCCCUGCCGUGUUCGUGAUGAGGGUACGUAUUUUUGAACCAACAGAAAACAACGGGGGCCCUUUUCGCAGCGUGGUGUGCAUAGGCCCCACUGACGUGGGGAGAGCCUGAAGCGUUGCCCGGGCAGCCACCUGGUUAGCCAGGUUCAAACCUCACCCCUCAAACGGCACAAAGGUGGGGGGUUC
This 187-nucleotide non-coding RNA is filed under the name Methylomirabilis sp. (SeqCode). RNAcentral's name for it is "6S RNA". It matches the Rfam family "6S / SsrS RNA". From Rfam's summary of the family: E. coli 6S RNA was the first non coding RNA to be sequenced, but its function was unknown until recently. The record is from RNAcentral. Lineage: Bacteria; Methylomirabilota (SeqCode); Methylomirabilia (SeqCode); Methylomirabilales (SeqCode); Methylomirabilaceae (SeqCode).